GAUGAAGAACGCAGCGAAAUGCGAUAAGUAAUGUGAAUUGCAGAAUUCAGUGAAUCAUCGAGUCUUUGAACGCACAUUGCGCCCCCUGGUAUUCCGGGGGGCAUGCCUGUCCGAGCGUCAUUGCUGCCCUCAAGCACGGCUUGUGUGUUGGGCCUCCGUCCUCCUCCCGGGGGACGGGCCCGACAGGCAGCGGCGGCACCGCGUCCGGUCCUCGAGCGUAUGGGGCUUCGUCACCCGCUCUUGUAGGCCCGGCCGGCGCUUGCCGACACAUCAAUCUUUUUUCCAGGUUGACCUCGGAUCAGGUAGGGAUACCCGCUGAACUUAAGCAUAUCAAUAAGCGGAGGA
Molecule: unclassified non-coding RNA, 345 nt
Filed under: soil metagenome
Description: partial contains 5.8S ribosomal RNA, internal transcribed spacer 2, and large subunit ribosomal RNA
Rfam family: 5.8S ribosomal RNA (bases 1-120)
Source: RNAcentral